RNAcentral lists this transfer RNA (75 nucleotides) under Candidatus Saccharimonadota bacterium. RNAcentral's name for it is "tRNA-Pro". It matches the Rfam family "tRNA". Rfam says of the family: Transfer RNA (tRNA) molecules are approximately 80 nucleotides in length. Their secondary structure includes four short double-helical elements and three loops (D, anti-codon, and T loops). Further hydrogen bonds mediate the characteristic L-shaped molecular structure. tRNAs have two regions of fundamental functional importance: the anti-codon, which is responsible for specific mRNA codon recognition, and the 3' end, to which the tRNAs corresponding amino acid is attached (by aminoacyl-tRNA synthetases). tRNAs cope with the degeneracy of the genetic code in two manners: having more than one tRNA (with a specific anti-codon) for a particular amino acid; and 'wobble' base-pairing, i.e. permitting non-standard base-pairing at the 3rd anti-codon position. The record is from RNAcentral. Lineage: Bacteria; Candidatus Saccharimonadota. RNAcentral also lists the same sequence under 3 other names.
CGGGGCUUAGCGCAGUGGUAGCGCGUACGUCUGGGGGACGUGAGGUCGCCAGUUCGAUCCUGGUAGCCCCGACCA